RNAcentral lists this ribosomal RNA (275 nucleotides) under uncultured Deinococcus sp. RNAcentral's name for it is "partial 16S ribosomal RNA". It matches the Rfam family "Bacterial small subunit ribosomal RNA", at positions 338 to 618 of the family's 1533-position model. Lineage: Bacteria; Thermotogati; Deinococcota; Deinococci; Deinococcales; Deinococcaceae. The record is from RNAcentral.
CCUACGGGUGGCUGCAGUUAGGAAUCUUCCACAAUGGGCGAAAGCCUGAUGGAGCGACGCCGCGUGAGGGAUGAAGGUUCUCGGAUCGUAAACCUCUGAACUAAGGACGAAAGACGCGAAAGCGGGAUGACGGUACUUAGGUAAUAGCACCGGCUAACUCCGUGCCAGCAGCCGCGGUAAUACGGAGGGUGCAAGCGUUACCCGGAAUCACUGGGCGUAAAGGGCGUGUAGGCGGUCAUUUAAGUCUGGUUUUAAAGACUGCGGCUCAACCGCAG